AUGAUCAAAUUCAAAAUGAUCGAUCUGUGUGGUAAUUGGAUUCGACUUUAAUGCGCAAAUCUGAACAUUAUCAAUUUCAUGGUUAU
This 86-nucleotide transfer RNA is filed under the name Shewanella putrefaciens. Its description in RNAcentral is "tRNA-Leu". Lineage: Bacteria; Pseudomonadati; Pseudomonadota; Gammaproteobacteria; Alteromonadales; Shewanellaceae. The record is from RNAcentral.